Molecule: ribosomal RNA, 912 nt
Filed under: uncultured Bacteroidota bacterium
Lineage: Bacteria; Pseudomonadati; Bacteroidota
Description: bacterial SSU rRNA
Rfam family: Bacterial small subunit ribosomal RNA
Source: RNAcentral
GGAUCCAGACUUUGAUUAUGGCUCAGGAUGAACGCUAGCUACAGGCUUAACACAUGCAAGUCGAGGGGAAACGACAUCGAAAGCUUGCUUUUGAUGGGCGUCGACCGGCGCACGGGUGAGUAACGCGUAUCCAACCUGCCCAUCACUUGGGGAUAACCUUGCGAAAGUAAGACUAAUACCCAAUGAUAUCUCUAGAAGACAUCUGAAGGAGAUUAAAGAUUCAUCGGUGAUGGAUGGGGAUGCGUCUGAUUAGCUUGUUGGCGGGGUAACGGCCCACCAAGGCGACGAUCAGUAGGGGUUCUGAGAGGAAGGUCCCCCACAUUGGAACUGAGACACGGUACAAACUCCUACGGGAGGCAGCAGUGAGGAAUAUUGGUCAAUGGACGAGAGUCUGAACCAGCCAAGUAGCGUGCAGGAUGACGGCCCUAUGGGUUGUAAACUGCUUUUAUAAGGGAAUAAAGUGAGUCUCGUGAGACUUUUUGCAUGUACCUUAUGAAUAAGGACCGGCUAAUUCCGUGCCAGCAGCCGCGGUAAUACGGAAGGUCCGGGCGUUAUCCGGAUUUAUUGGGUUUAAAGGGAGCGUAGGCCGGAGAUUAAGCGUGUUGUGAAAUGUAGACGCUCAACGUCUGCACUGCAGCGCGAACUGGUUUCCUUGAGUACGCACAAAGUGGGCGGAAUUCGUGGUGUAGCGGUGAAAUGCUUAGGUAUCACGAAGAACUCCGAUUGCGAAGGCAGCUCACUGGAGCGCAACUGACGCUGAAGCUCGAAAGUGCGGGUAUCGAACAGGAUUAGAUACCCUGGUAGUCCGCACGGUAAACGAUGGAUGCCCGCUGUUGGUCUGAAUAGGUCAGCGGCCAAGCGAAAGCAUUAAGCAUCCCACCUGGGGAGUACGCCGGCAACGGUGCAACUCAA